This 481-nucleotide ribosomal RNA is filed under the name uncultured bacterium. Its description in RNAcentral is "partial 16S ribosomal RNA". It matches the Rfam family "Bacterial small subunit ribosomal RNA", at positions 28 to 507 of the family's 1533-position model. The record is from RNAcentral.
GAUGAACGCUGGCGGCGUGCUUAACACAUGCAAGUCGAACGACGCACUAUAUUUGAUUUCCUUCGGGACUGAUUAUUUUGUGACUGAGUGGCGGACGGGUCAGUAACGCGUGGGUAACCUGCCUUGUACAGGGGGAUAACAGUUGGAAACGGCUGCUAAUCCCGCAUAAGCGCCCAGCAUCGCAUGAUGCAGUGUGAAAAACUCGGGUGGUAUAAGAGGGACCCGCGUUGGAUUAGCUAGUCGGUGAGGUAACGGCCCACCAAGGCGACGAUCCAUAGCCGACCUGUGAGGGUGGCCGGCCACAUUGGGACUGAGACACGGCGCAGACUCCUACGGGAGGCAGCAGUGGGGAAUAUUGCACAAUGGGCGAAAGCCUGAUGCAGCGACGCCGCGUGAGCGAAGAAGUAUUGCGGUAUGUAAAGCUCUAUCAGCAGGGAAGAUAAUGACGGUACCUGACUAAGAAGCACCGGCUAAAUACGUG